This is a long non-coding RNA of Passer domesticus (house sparrow), 2897 nucleotides long. RefSeq lists it as uncharacterized. The transcript has 8 exons. The record is from RefSeq and is a predicted model, not a curated record. NCBI's taxonomy places the organism in Eukaryota, Metazoa, Chordata, Aves, Passeriformes, Passeridae.
UCGCCUCAGCGGCUCCGAACCGCCCCCGGUAACGGAGGGCGGUAACGGCGCGGGGGAGGAAAAGCCGCAGUUGCCCCGCCGCCCGCGAAGGGUCAGGCUCGCCCCCUUCCUUCCUUCUCUAGCAGCCCGUUCCCCCCCGGCCGGCCCAGGCCGCUGUCGCCGUCACGGCUCGUGCUCCCCCGCGCCCGCCGCUGCCUCCGCUCGCUCCGGUCGCACAGCGGCGGCGGCGGCUCUAAUGUAACUCGGGGGCCGCCCGGCGCUCUCUCGCCGCCGCGGCAUGUGGACGCCGCUCAUUGGCGGCGCCGGGGCGCGGGGCGGGCAGGCUGGCGGCCCCGCCCGUGGGGCGGAGGCGAUGGCUGCGGCGCGGCCCCUGCGCAGCUCCGUCCCAGUGUCGUUCGUGCUCCCGCCCGGGGCCCGGCGGCGGCCGUGCCUCACGCCGCGGUGCAGCCGCUUCGGCUGCGCACGGGGACAGCCCCGCAGGAGCGGUGGUCGCUUUCCCGCCGCUGCUGCCCCGGCGGGAACCGCCCCUGUCCCGGCCUCAGCCCGCGGUGAGGGGGAGCGGGGCGGCCUGAGGGGAGCUGCCCGCCAUUGGGGUCUUGGCGCGGGGCUGCACCGGCGUGUGUCGCGACAGGAGCGCCAGCCGUCCUGUGGGCACUGCCCUCGCCCUGUCGUGAUAGCAGCCUCAUCCAGUCCAGGGGUGAGUGUGGGGUUGGCCCCCGCCCCAGGAGCAUCAUCCGGUCAAAGGGUGACUGUGAGGCUGGCGCGCUCUGUCGCCACAGGAGCAUCAUCCGGUCAGAGCGUGAGGGGAAGGCCGUGGAUUCUCCCUCUCUGGAGACAUUCCAAACCCACCUGGGCACAUUCCUGUGUCACCCUGCCUUGGCAGAGGGUUGGACUGGGUGAUCUCGGGGGUCCCUUCCAACCCUAAAGACUGUGAUUCUGUGGGGCUGCACCGGGCUCUGUCGCGACAGGAGCCUCACGCAUCGCGAGUGUGCAGAGGUGAGGGCCGGGGUCACUCCCCCCAGGUCGUGCCCUGCGCUGGCACGGAGCAGUGUCCCCAGCUGCCGUCGCACACAUGCCGGUGACAGCACACUCAGCCCCGGCGAUAACGUGAGGGGGAAUGAACUGCGCGCUGUGAUUCCAGCGCGGGUGUGCGGUGAGGGACCGGCUUUCCUCAGCACCGUGUCAGGCACAGGAGCCGAUAGAGAGCACCGAAAAUUGACUGAUCCACCCAAUCCCACCCGGGAACUUCAGUGAACACAGAGAGAAAUCACUGCCAGGUGACAUUAAUACACCUGCAACACACACGCAGAGCACAGCGAGCAGAUCGGCAUAAACACCUUGAAAACUUGGUUCCAAGCGAUGUUCCUGUGUACAUAUGCCCGUGCAAAUACCAAAGCUGAUCCCUACAUGUGUGCUGGCUUACAUAAACGCAGAUCCUACCUACAAUCUGCAUUUCCACCACUUACAAACCACCCACAGCACCACGCUAUAAGAAGCUGCAUGUCUGAUCUGGAAUGAAAUAUCUCAGUCUUACCUCUGUGCUAGGAAAGGGAUGGAGAGGGGACAGCCCAUGUAAAAUUAUGGUGUUCUACGGCACUGUGUGUUCCUGUGUCAGCAGCAGGUAGAAUUUGACUUCCACGGAGACUGAGAGACUGUGAACACAAAGAAUGGUGUUGCUGCUGGGGGAUUUCUGGAACUGGAUCUCUGCUCCUGCACAAAGCAGCUCCUUGCUGCCUUGGAAGUGUAAAGAGGCAGCCAGACAGAGUCUGCUCUCAGUGACAGUAACUAUGAGAGAUCACAGUUUGGCUUGAGCUCUUGCCCAGUGCCGUGAGCAGUUCCACCAUGGCUUCUGCCAUUCCAUGUAUUUGCUGAAUCACAAGAAGUCACACUCUCUGACUUUUCAAGAUUGAAAGGAAGACAUGUAGGUGCACUCCAUGUAGGUUUAAAAGAAAAACAUCAGCAUUGGAAAACAACAAUAUUCCAUCCUUCUACCACCAUCCCACUGCAACCUCUGGGUGUGAUCCCAGGAGUCUCCUGAGUGGAUUUCCCCAGUGCUGGGGCCUGAGCAGUGAUCCCGUGUGUCUUUUGUCAUGUGGCACAAAGCUACAGGUGUCAGCAAGAGGACUGCAAGGAAUGAAUCCUGUUCCCUGAAAUGCAGCUGGAGGACGAGGGCAGCUCAGGCCACCCCAGGCCUCAGGAGAUUGAUAGUGCUGGCAGCUGAGGAUCUAAUUAUGGAUUAUUUGGGUCGGACUCUUAUCCCAGUGUGCUAUAAAUCUGAUGAUGGGCCCUUUAAUUCCUGCUUGUUCUGUCAGGAUGAAGAACAGAGCUAAAUCCAGCAGACCUUGUUUUGGCAAAACUCCCACUGAAGUCAGGGCUUGUGAAAGUCAGGUCCAUGUGAUCUUCCUUGUAACUCCAAGGACAGCUGAAAUCAACACCACUAAAUCCCCCAAAGCUGCAGAAUAUUACAGCAGUUUUAUAGCUGGGAUGCCUCCUCAUCCACUUCUGGAAAGGGAUAAGGAGAAGCCUUUGGAAAGUGAGCUGCUGCUCAUGUGACUGCUCAGAUUGGUGUUCCAGCUGGGACAAAUUUGGUCACCCUGAGGGGAGAGAAUCCUGCCCAGGGCAGAGAGCCCUGCCCAGGGCAGAGAGCCCUGCCCGCUCACCGAACCGCCCUGCGCCGCUCCUGCGGCUCUGGGGACACGUAGGCCUUCAUUUCCUCCCUGGCACGCUGCAGCUGGACCUCCAGGCUCUGUGAAGAAAUACACCAUUAAAUACAUCUAUGGGUGUGUAUAUUGUAAUUGCCAUUUCAUUUCACAGUGAACAGUUGGUGCUCUCACCCUUUUCAUGCAGUUAAUGUAACGGUAGUUGCUCUCUUCCUGGGCACGCUCCUCAAGAAGCCC